This 355-nucleotide ribosomal RNA is filed under the name Hepatozoon sp. Its description in RNAcentral is "bacterial SSU rRNA". It matches the Rfam family "Eukaryotic small subunit ribosomal RNA", at positions 600 to 952 of the family's 1831-position model. Lineage: Eukaryota; Apicomplexa; Hepatozoidae. The record is from RNAcentral.
UAUAUUAAAAUUGUUGCAGUUAAAAAGCUCGUAGUUGAAUUUAUGUUAAAAAUAACCGAUCUGCUUUGAACAAAAGUAGUAUCAUGGUUUGUUUUUAGCAAUAAUGUUCUUUGAUAUGUUUUAUACUUUAUUGUAUAAAGCAAUAUUUAGAAUUUUUACUUUGAGAAAAUUAGAGUGUUUCAAGCAGGCUAACGUUUUGAAUACUGCAGCAUGGAAUAAUAAAAUAGAAUUUUGGUUCUAUAUUAUUGGUUUUAAGAACUAAAUUAAUGAUUGAUAGGGACAGUUGGGGGCAUUUGUAUUUAACUGUCAGAGGUGAAAUUCUUAGAUUUGUUAAAGACCAACUACUGCCGAAAGA